This 663-nucleotide long non-coding RNA is filed under the name Equus asinus (donkey). RNAcentral describes it as "lncRNA (ENSEASG00005033005.1)". The record is from RNAcentral. Lineage: Eukaryota; Metazoa; Chordata; Mammalia; Perissodactyla; Equidae.
GCAGUGGGGAGCUGGGAUGCAGGGCUGUCCCAAGUGAGCUGGAGGAAGAAGGAUUGGACGUCCUUGUUUAAAGAAGAAAAUGCGUAUUUGAGGAAAACAAUCAACUCGAUGAAGAAGGAAGGAGGAAGAGAAGCUGAACACCUAGGAAAAAACAGAGAAACACAAAAGCAGCCUCUUAGUACUUCCUGUUGACGUCGGUGGGGACCAGCCCAGCUUCCCACAUGAUCGCAUCUUCUUGUAACUCUCUUAUUGUACGCCUUGAGACACCGAGAUCCUCAGCUAGCCAGGCUCAGAUGCGACUGGAGGACUUCAGUCACUGGUCAAAUCAAGACUGGCCCCUUCCAAGAUCGCUGAACGAGGGUGAAGUCUGAUGGAACGAUCGCUACCAUUUGCUGGCGGAGACUGUGUGCGAGCACCACGUGAACCCCAGAAAGUGCCUUGAAAGAGCCUGGUACACAGUAGGUGCCCAAUAAGUGUUAGCCACUGUUAUUAUUAAGAUUAUAAUGAUUACUAUGGAACAUGAGGUAGUCUUGUCUCUACAACAAGGCUGCGUGCUCCCUAAAGAGGGGAAACCUCAUACCGGCAUAUACACACGUGCUCCACACCCAACAGAACAUACCUAAACGCCCUGCCUACAGAGAUGCUAAUUAAACUCUUCUUGAA